AAUUCAUCUAAAAAAAUACAUAUAACAAAAAUAAAUAAAUAAAAUGGUUGCAAGAAAACCCCAAUCGCUACAAAAAGUUUUCAAGUGCGAUUCGGCAUAAUAAGACAACUCCAUGCAGACUUCAAUCUGGCAAUCAACUCUAAAAGACAUCCAAAUUAAGUUGACGAUCAGGCAAUAAACAAACAAACAAAAUAUGAAACAUUGCAAAUUUUGUCAAUUACGAGUAAUUGUGGAACAUAACAAAAGCUUCGAAAGCAAAAACAAAAAAUACAACAAAUUCUAGUGAAAUUAAAAAGGCAAAUUUAGUGUCAAACUAGAGCUCACAUUUUAAUUAUAAUGAUUUCUGCCUGAUCUUGUCAAGAGUGUUCGAGUGAGUUCCUUUGUGCAGCAACCCAUCAAGGAAGCAAAACUACUCACCUCCACACAGACACACACACAUAUGCAGAUACAACUGUACUGGUAUGCGUGGGAACAUGUGAUUUUUCCAGCCUAUAUGGCUCAGAUAAAAAUAAGUGAAAAAUGAAAGCAACAUUGCGUUAUCCAGUACGACUUAAAAAAAGGAAGCAGUAAAAAAAGCCUGUGCAAAUAAAAGUAAGACUCUUCGAACCAGAACAAAUAUGCUACUCCUGAACAAGGAUGAAGUGCGAAACUGCGUCAGCAUGGAAAUUUAAUUAGCGACGGUCGAGAGAGUCAGCAACAACAAGCCACACACACAUUCACAACAUGAGCUUGCCCGAAAGUAAACACGAACGGGGGAAGAAAAUAAAUCAUAUGAGCGUUUCCGUCGUGUAUGCGUCCUCGACGCUGCUGUUGCUGUUUUUGCAUGACGACAACAAGAAAAGACCAAAAAAGGGAAACAAUGGAAGUGCACCACAAGCACAAACCAUCCUCGCUCCGAAGACAGCAGCUUCCAAGCGAGCGGCGCGGCCAAUGCAACGCACGUACAUGUGUAUCGCUGUGUGAGUGUGUGUGUGUGUGCGAGCGGGCAAACAAAUAUGUCGCAGACAUGCGUACUGGCCCCCAACUUGAACUUGAAAAUAUUUUUAUUGUUGCGCUCGUCGGCUGUUCCAUUAAGCUUGUAACGAGCUUCGACGGAAGCGACCGCUAUCGUGACUGCGACUGCGGCAGACACAGCGACAGCGGCAGAGACGUCACGCUCCGCAGCACCACUGACGACGCAUAAAUUAGCAACACGCCGGCAAACGGUAGGGAGAGGCAGAAACAAAGUCAGAGAGAGAGAGAGAGAGAGAGCGAAAGCUCUUCUGGAACUGGAGUGCAAUGGUGAGCGAUGCAAUUGCAGGCAUGGUCGCGUGCCUUCAUCAGACAACUAGAAUUCUCGGAUCUACCAUUUGAAGAUUACGCGAUGCAGUAGUCCUAAGAAAAUAUUAAAUUAGAAAUAAGAAAAUUAUGUUCAUAUAUGUAAAUGUAUUUUUUCUUAAAGAUAUUAGAUGCAAUAAACUAUUACUCUUAGUUGAAAGAA
Molecule: long non-coding RNA, 1480 nt
Organism: Scaptodrosophila lebanonensis
Lineage: Eukaryota; Metazoa; Arthropoda; Insecta; Diptera; Drosophilidae
Exons: 3
Source: RefSeq, a predicted model, not a curated record